UUUAAAUUGAGAGUUUGAUCCUGGCUCAGGAUGAACGCUGGCGGCGUGCUUAACACAUGCAAGUCGAGCGAUGAAGUUUCCUUCGGGAAACGGAUUAGCGGCGGACGGGUGAGUAACACGUGGGUAACCUGCCUCAUAGAGUGGAAUAGCCUUCCGAAAGGAAGAUUAAUACCGCAUAAUGUUGAAAGAUGGCAUCAUCAUUCAACCAAAGGAGCAAUCCGCUAUGAGAUGGACCCGCGGUGCAUUAGCUAGUUGGUGGGGUAACGGCCUACCAAGGCGACGAUGCGUAGCCGACCUGAGAGGGUGAUCGGCCACAUUGGGACUGAGACACGGCCCAGACUCCUACGGGAGGCAGCAGUGGGGAAUAUUGCACAAUGGGGGAAACCCUGAUGCAGCAACGCCGCGUGAGUGAUGAAGGUUUUCGGAUCGUAAAGCUCUGUCUUUGGGGAAGAUAAUGACGGUACCCAAGGAGGAAGCCACGGCUAACUACGUGCCAGCAGCCGCGGUAAUACGUAGGUGGCGAGCGUUAUCCGGA
This 535-nucleotide ribosomal RNA is filed under the name Clostridium perfringens. RNAcentral describes it as "bacterial SSU rRNA". It matches the Rfam family "Bacterial small subunit ribosomal RNA", at positions 1 to 549 of the family's 1533-position model. Lineage: Bacteria; Bacillati; Bacillota; Clostridia; Eubacteriales; Clostridiaceae. The record is from RNAcentral.